RNAcentral lists this long non-coding RNA (933 nucleotides) under Gallus gallus (chicken). The record is from RNAcentral. Lineage: Eukaryota; Metazoa; Chordata; Aves; Galliformes; Phasianidae.
UCUUCAUGGAGAUGUCCUUUGUGAUCUCCUGAGUCUCUGCUUCAUCCAGGAACAAUUUUAGCCUCCUGCUUCUGAGCCCAAAAACUUUUGCUGUUUCAUGUAGAAGACCGUGGUAUGUUAAUCCAUUCUGACCAACGGGGUUUUCCAUUAGAAGAGUUCCCACUGUUCCUUUCUGACACUCUUGUGGUUUUGCAUUUACUAACUGCAAGUUGAUAUACUGGCAGAGAAGAGCAUCAGGAGAGUUGAUGAGAGCAGGUGCUGACCCCGUUGUCACAUGCAGAGUCUUUCCACUGAGACUAAGCAAGUCAGUUUUGUUUAUCAGUUCUGUUUUUCCAUUAAAAACUGUCAGUUUUGAAUUUUUAAGUCCAAAAAUGCAGGAGACUGCAUCGACAAGUCCAGUGAGGUUCAACGUAUUAUCUCCUUUUGGAUUCUCCAGCAGCAACACACCAUCUUGUUCUGUCCCAUUAACACAGACUUUGAGGUUGACGUAGGAACAGGCUGGACCAACACGCUCACACAAACCACCUCUGACAAGUGUAAUUUCUAGCUCCGAUCCCUUCAGCUGAGUGGUCUCCUGGAUGAGAACUUCUUUUGAGGUAGGAACCGGGUAAGGCUUCAGGGCAGCCUUUAUUGUUGCAAAAAUGAAAUCUGUAUGCUCCUUAAUGACAGUAUCCAAGUAAUCACCUUCUGGAUGUGAUCUGUAGUACACUGUAAUCUCAUCUGUGGGAACUAGAUUUCGCUUUUUGCGAAGCUUCUGAAUGCGGUUGAUCACUUCCCGGGCCACUCCUUCAUCCACCAUAGACUGGUCUGGGGUAACAUCCAGCAGAACUAAAACCUGAGCAUCAGAAUGUGCCUCAAACUGAGCAGAUCCUCCUGCAACCUGAUCAAAAGUAUACAUGAGACGAAGAUCCUCCCCAUGGAGCUCGUGUCCUU